UACGUAGGGGGCAAGCGUUGUCCGGAAUCAUUGGGCGUAAAGAGCGUGUAGGCGGCCCGAUAAGUCCGCUGUGAAAGUCCAGGGCUCAACCCUGGAAUGCCGGUGGAUACUGUCGGGCUCGAAUCCGGAAGAGGUGAGUGGAAUUCCUGGUGUAGCGGUGAAAUGCGCAGAUAUCAGGAGGAACACCGGUGGCGAAGGCGGCUUCCUGGACCGACACUGACGCUGAGGCGCGAAAGCUAGGGGAGCAAACAGG
Molecule: ribosomal RNA, 253 nt
Filed under: uncultured bacterium
Lineage: Bacteria
Description: partial 16S ribosomal RNA
Rfam family: Bacterial small subunit ribosomal RNA
Source: RNAcentral